GGGGGCGCAACGGAUUCGACGGGAUUGUAUCCGUCGUGGGAAGUCGUGCCGGGUUCCGAGCUCCCGUAAAACGAUCGGAAAACAACAACUGCCAAUAAUCAGCAGUUUGCUUACGCUGCUUAAUUAACUGAGUAGCCGCCCCGGGUCGAUGGGCCUGCACGCGAUCCACGGGCGUCAUUUUGCAGGAUAGGUCUGAAGCUUCUGUCCGGAGCGGAAAGGCCGAGAUCAAUCGGGCUAAGCCGUCUGAUUCUUGCCGGUAUCUUAUCAGGCGGACCAAAACUACCGAACCGGAAACGCACGUAGUCUUUUCGCGAUUGACUUUCUCGGACGCGGGUUCAACUCCCGCCGCCUCCACCA
This 357-nucleotide transfer-messenger RNA is filed under the name Bryobacteraceae. Its description in RNAcentral is "Palsa-187 sp020073325 Standard tmRNA". It matches the Rfam family "transfer-messenger RNA". From Rfam's summary of the family: Bacterial tmRNA, also known as 10Sa RNA or SsrA, is named for its dual tRNA and mRNA-like properties. Lineage: Bacteria; Pseudomonadati; Acidobacteriota; Terriglobia; Bryobacterales. RNAcentral also lists the same sequence under 1 other name. The record is from RNAcentral.